CAUAAUUCAUACAUAUAGAUUCUUUAUGGUUUAAUUUUUUAGAAUAAUUAUCUGAUAGUAAUUAUCAAUUAUGGAAUAAUCGUAUAGUAUUUGAGAAUAAUCGCCUGUUAAUAAGAAACGUAACCUUCACUAACAUAAACUGUCAUAAAAGCUAUUGCAGUUAUUCAUUCCACUGGCAAAAUUAAAUAUUUCAGAAUAACAUUGAUGCAAGCUCCGAACAGAUAUGUAUUAUACCAGCAUGUGCUAAUACAAGGUAUUAUCACUCUACUUCUUCCCUAGUAUUUUUGCAUAGAAAUGCAUGGUACAGCUGGUACUAGUACAGUAGUGUUUAUCGAUCUACUUCUUAACGAAUACUUCUGUAUUCCUAGAUGACACUUUAAGGAAGAAACGUGUAACGUAAAAAGCAUAAACAGAAGAAUCUGACGCAGCGCUCAUGAAAGAUUCUUUACAGAAAAUCCUUUAUAAAGAUUUCGUAAAUAACUACAGUGGUCAUAGUUUGUUUACUCUACUCUUCUCAAGUGGAAACAAACGCGUCAUCUCAUUUGGAGAAAGAAAGAAAACUCGAAAUCUGGAGGAUUUUUCUGCUUUUACCAUCUGCUCCUUCUUCUAAAAAUAAGCUGACGUGUCGAGAGUCAUCGAUUACUUUGCCAUAAUUUAUAGAGUAACAUGAAUUUCAUUUCCUUUGACUACAAAGUAAAGAAUUCGGUGUAUAACUAGAAAAGCGCAAAUUGCAUGUUAAACUAAGAAAUCAUAAUUUUAGUUUAGUGUACUGUGAGUAUUAUGUUACGGCAGAAUGGUUAUAAAGAAAAAUUUCCCGAUAUAGGAACCCCCUAGCUCAAGCAAUCGAAAUGAAAUUUCAGAUAAUGUUACUUGAGGAUAUGCUCUUAAGAUUAUGAUGAUUUAAAACAAUAGAGCUCUCUUGGUUACAUUUACAGUGAAACAUUUUGAAACGUUUGAAUGGCAACACGCACUUUUUUACUGUGCAAACUGGUCAGAGCAUUGAAAAACCAUAAAUGGCGUUGGAAAGAUACAUGUAAUGACAAACAUUGCCGGCGUAGAACAUUUGCAAAAAAAAUUAUUGUAAAGGACAAAUGACAACAUAAGAAGCGGAGAGAUAACUUUUAUUGGAAUUGCAAGUGUUUGACAUGUACAGUGUAUCAAGUCAGAGCCACCUCUCACAACUUUGCAGCAUCUUGGCCAUUGAGAUACCCUUACUACACUCCGAUGUAUUUCUCGUUCUGGGUUUAUAUGAAAUUUAAGGCGUACACAUCACAUCCACGACAUUUGUCAGAAUUGAAACGUACCAUGCGAUGUUACAUUAGUCACUGUUGUCAACAAUCUCUAGCAUGUAAUGCGUUAUCGUCUGCAAAUUUGGGGCAAGUUGAAAACUUGCUAUUUCAUUAAAAGAUUUUUCUCCCUCUUUUUUGUGAUGUAAUUUUUUGUGAUCGCUUAUAAUGUCCUUCUUUGAAAAUAUUUUAAGCCGGCAAUUUUCGUCAUAUCUAUAUCGUUCCAACACCAUUUAUAGUUUUUCAUCGCGUAGGAAAAACGCAAUGUUACUCUAAAAUUUCGAUUUUUUGUUUACUUUCAUCUUAACCGUCAGAGCUUUAUUGUUUUAAAUCAUUACAGUCCCAAACAUGUAUAUUCAAACAACAAUAUCCGAAAUUUCAUUUCGACUGACUUGAGCAGAUUAGCUACUAGGGUUAAUAUAAAGGAGACGUUUCUUACCACAAACCUGCUUUUUUGAAUUUUCAGUGUAUCUCUGUAUACCUUCGACAUCUGAUACUUUUAAUGUAAUUCACAAUCAGAUAAUUAUCAAAAUUAUCAUCUUAACGCAAUUUGUUUCUGCAAUUAUUGCAUUAUUAUGAUAUCUAUCUUUCUAAAUUGCUUUUAUAAAUUAAGAGGGGUGAUAGUACUCAUCCAGGUGUGCAAUAAUUACCAUAGAACAUAGGGUCGCAUUCCACUCUGCGAGGCAAAAAAAGAGGAAUAUUAGAAUUACAACCUGAAAUUACAACAGUGCUGGGAGAGCGAAUGAACGAGACCAAAUUUUUCGCAAUCAGUUUAGUGAAAAACUCACAGAGAGCGCACAAAACGGAUAAAACCGAAAACUUGGCGUUCGAGUGUUAAUUCGAGCUCAGACUUUGAUGCCAAACACUCAAAUGCACAUCUUUGCUUCGCAAGGUCUCAACCUCGCAACCGAUUACAAACAACUUAUCAAGAGCUGAAUAUUAUCAACUUAAUCCAACUUCCGGUGUAUGCCGAGAUUAGCAUGAAAAGUUCAUGUUGUGUACCGGCUGUCAGAACUUCGCACCCCAUAGAAGGGUGCUUUCAAGUAGAAAUAAACGCAGUACACUAUGUCCAGGAGGACAGGACAGAUGAUGGCGAAGGGGAAAAACUGCUACCUUGAUAGCACAUUUUCUUCAUAAUGAUCGUUACCAGCCAUGGACUUCAAACUUGUGUACCCGACAUUUAAAAUCAACAAAUAAAUACAUUAAAGAUGAGUACUACAUUAAUUCUACUCAUAUAGCUUGUUAUUCUUAUGAUAUUUAUACAUCAGAAGUACAUACUGCAGAAGAAUGCAGUGAUGGACGUAAAACACUUCGUUACACAGUCAAAAUGUGUUACCAUGAACUAAAUCCUUGUAUAUUUGUCAAUAUAUUACCUAUUUAAUUUCGAUGUCUUAGAUGUUUAAUUUAGCUUUCAUUUUUAGUUGUUAUGUC
This 2717-nucleotide long non-coding RNA is filed under the name Stegodyphus dumicola. RNAcentral's name for it is "uncharacterized LOC118183645". Lineage: Eukaryota; Metazoa; Arthropoda; Arachnida; Araneae; Eresidae. The record is from RNAcentral.